This 876-nucleotide ribosomal RNA is filed under the name uncultured organism. Its description in RNAcentral is "bacterial SSU rRNA". It matches the Rfam family "Bacterial small subunit ribosomal RNA", at positions 13 to 849 of the family's 1533-position model. The record is from RNAcentral.
UUGAUCCUGGCUCAGAACGAACACUGGCGGCGUGGAUUAGGCAUGCAAGUCGAGCGGGAUCCUGUUGAUUCAAUCCUUCGGGAGAGAAACUUCAGGUGAGAGCGGCGAACGGGUGAGUAAUAUAUGGGUAAUUUGCCCUGGAGCUCGGGAUAGCCAUUCGAAAGGGUGGGUAAUACCGAAUGUGCUCGCCCCGCACCUGCGGGGUUAUGUAAAGGUGGGGAUCUUCGGACCUGCCACUCCUGGAUAAGCCCAUAUCCUAUCAGCUUGUUGGUGAGGUAACAGCUCACCAAGGCGUUGACGGGUAGCCGACCUGAGAGGGUGACCGGCCACACUGGGACUGAGACACUGCCCAGACUCCUACGGGAGGCUGCAGUCGAGAAUCAUUGUCAAUGCACGAAAGUGUGAACAUGCGACGCCGCGUGGAGGACGAAUGCCUUCGGGUUGUAAACUCCUGUCCUGAGGGAGUAAGUGUACGACGGCUAAUACCCGCUGUACUUGAUAGUACCUCAGAAGAAAGUCACGGCUAACUCUGUGCCAGCAGCCGCGGUAAUACAGAGGUGGCAAGUGUUGUUCGGAUUUACUGGGCGUAAAGGGUUCGCAGGCGGUCCUGUGUGUCAGAUGUGAAAAUCCACAGCUUAACUGUGGAACUGCAUUUGAAACUACAGGACUCGAGUACAGCAGGGGAGAGGGGAAUUCAUGGUGUAGCGGUGAAAUGCGUAGAUAUCAUGAAGAACACCGGCGGCGAAAGCGCCUCUCUGGGCUGAUACUGACGCUCAUGGACGAAAGCCGGGGGAGCGAAGAGGAUUAGAUACCCUCGUAGUCCCGGCCAUAAACGGUGUGCACUUGAUGUGGGAGGAUUACCCCCUUCCGUGUCGG